This 406-nucleotide ribosomal RNA is filed under the name uncultured bacterium. Its description in RNAcentral is "partial 16S ribosomal RNA". It matches the Rfam family "Bacterial small subunit ribosomal RNA", at positions 28 to 526 of the family's 1533-position model. The record is from RNAcentral.
GACGAACGCUGGCGGCGUGCCUAAUACAUGCAAGUCGAACGAGUGGCGGACGGGUGAGUAAUGUCUGGGAAACUGCCUGAUGGAGGGGGAUAACUACUGGAAACGGUAGCUAAUACCGCAUACUAUCAGAUGAGCCUAGGUCGGAUUAGCUAGUUGGUGGGGUAAAGGCCUACCAAGGCGACGAUCCGUAACUGGUCUGAGAGGAUGAUCAGUCACACUGGAACUGAGACACGGUCCAGACUCCUACGGUAGGAAGCAGUGGGGAAUAUUGCACAAUGGGCGCAAGCCUGAUGCAGCCAUGCCGCGUGUAUGAAGAAGGCCUUCGGGUUGUAAAGUACUUUCAGCGGGGAGGCGUUACCCGCAGAAGAAGCACCGGCUAACUCCGUGCCAGCAGCCGCGGUAAUUC